UUUUGAGAUCUGAUUCUGUUUGUUUGAGUUGUUUAGUUUUAAUUUGAUUUAUGGAAGACAUGUGAAGGAGAGAUGAUGUUGGAAGAUAGGGAAAAAAGAUAAUCUAGUGUUGAGAGUGUACCAUAAGACAAUGUUCUUUACUUAAUCUAAUGGAUAAAAUUUACUUUCUCAUGGUGGGAAACUAUUGUCCAUUUCCAUGCUAAAUGCCACCCCAAACCUUACCUGAGAGAGUGUGACCGAGACUAACAAACUUAUCUGCGCAGCCAUUGCCUUCUCGGUAAAUGUGAGAGGAGAGAACCUGUAAACCAUGAGAAAAAAAUUGUAGGGUGAUUAGUUUAUUAAUUUAUCAUGAUCCUCAUGAAUUUUCUAUUCUAUCGACUUAUUACAGUUAUGCAAGUUGUGGUAGUAUGUUAUACUUGCCAUAAAUUUGUGGGUCUUCAUCUUCUUAACCUUUAUGUCAUUUAAAUUCAAUUUAAAUUGAUUUAAUUUACUGUUUCUGAGAAUUGUUUGAAAAAUUCAAUUUUUUAUUGUUGAUGAUUUACACACCCACUAAAGAGUUUCACGAUAAUCACAACUAAUUACAAAUGCUCAAGGACACAUCCAAGUGACUUCCUAUCCUCAAGCACACAAGCAAGGGACUACUAAAUACUAAAUCAAAACUGAAAGAGAUUUCUAAGAGUUUAUAGAUAAAAGAAUUUUCUUAC
RNAcentral lists this long non-coding RNA (704 nucleotides) under Medicago truncatula (barrel medic). RNAcentral describes it as "long non-coding RNA (MTRU_LNC004918)". Lineage: Eukaryota; Viridiplantae; Streptophyta; Magnoliopsida; Fabales; Fabaceae. The record is from RNAcentral.